GAUGAACGCUGGCGGCGUGCCUAAUACAUGCAAGUCGAGCGAACAGACGAGGAGCUUGCUCCUCUGACGUUAGCGGCGGACGGGUGAGUAACACGUGGAUAACCUACCUAUAAGACUGGGAUAACUUCGGGAAACCGGAGCUAAUACCGGAUAACAUGUUGAACCGCAUGGUUCAACAGUGAAAGACGGUCUUGCUGUCACUUAUAGAUGGAUCCGCGCCGCAUUAGCUAGUUGGUAAGGUAACGGCUUACCAAGGCAACGAUGCGUAGCCGACCUGAGAGGGUGAUCGGCCACACUGGAACUGAGACACGGUCCAGACUCCUACGGGAGGCAGCAGUAGGGAAUCUUCCGCAAUGGGCGAAAGCCUGACGGAGCAACGCCGCGUGAGUGAAGAAGGUCUUCGGAUCGUAAAACUCUGUUAUUAGGGAAGAACAAAUGUGUAAGUAACUAUGCACGUCUCGACGGUACCUAAUCAGAAAGCCACGGCUAACUACGUG
This 497-nucleotide ribosomal RNA is filed under the name uncultured bacterium. Its description in RNAcentral is "partial 16S ribosomal RNA". It matches the Rfam family "Bacterial small subunit ribosomal RNA", at positions 28 to 507 of the family's 1533-position model. The record is from RNAcentral.